This 2902-nucleotide ribosomal RNA is filed under the name Klebsiella pneumoniae. RNAcentral describes it as "23S ribosomal RNA". It matches the Rfam family "Bacterial large subunit ribosomal RNA". The record is from RNAcentral. Lineage: Bacteria; Pseudomonadati; Pseudomonadota; Gammaproteobacteria; Enterobacterales; Enterobacteriaceae. RNAcentral also lists the same sequence under 1 other name.
GGUUAAGCGACUAAGCGUACACGGUGGAUGCCCUGGCAGUCAGAGGCGAUGAAGGACGUGCUAAUCUGCGAAAAGCGUCGGUAAGGUGAUAUGAACCGUUAUAACCGGCGAUGUCCGAAUGGGGAAACCCAGUGCAAUUCGUUGCACUAUCGUUAACUGAAUACAUAGGUUAACGAGGCGAACCGGGGGAACUGAAACAUCUAAGUACCCCGAGGAAAAGAAAUCAACCGAGAUUCCCCCAGUAGCGGCGAGCGAACGGGGAGCAGCCCAGAGUCUGAAUCAGCUUGUGUGUUAGUGGAACGGUCUGGAAAGUCCGACGGUACAGGGUGAUAGUCCCGUACACCAAAAUGCACAGGUUGUGAACUCGAAGAGUAGGGCGGGACACGUGGUAUCCUGUCUGAAUAUGGGGGGACCAUCCUCCAAGGCUAAAUACUCCUGACUGACCGAUAGUGAACCAGUACCGUGAGGGAAAGGCGAAAAGAACCCCGGCGAGGGGAGUGAAAAAGAACCUGAAACCGUGUACGUACAAGCAGUGGGAGCACCUUCGGGUGUGACUGCGUACCUUUUGUAUAAUGGGUCAGCGACUUAUAUUCUGUAGCAAGGUUAACCGUAUAGGGGAGCCGCAGGGAAACCGAGUCUUAACUGGGCGUUAAGUUGCAGGGUAUAGACCCGAAACCCGGUGAUCUAGCCAUGGGCAGGUUGAAGGUUGGGUAACACUAACUGGAGGACCGAACCGACUAAUGUUGAAAAAUUAGCGGAUGACUUGUGGCUGGGGGUGAAAGGCCAAUCAAACCGGGAGAUAGCUGGUUCUCCCCGAAAGCUAUUUAGGUAGCGCCUCGUGAACUCAUCUUCGGGGGUAGAGCACUGUUUCGGCUAGGGGGUCAUCCCGACUUACCAACCCGAUGCAAACUACGAAUACCGAAGAAUGUUAUCACGGGAGACACACGGCGGGUGCUAACGUCCGUCGUGAAGAGGGAAACAACCCAGACCGCCAGCUAAGGUCCCAAAGUCAUGGUUAAGUGGGAAACGAUGUGGGAAGGCACAGACAGCCAGGAUGUUGGCUUAGAAGCAGCCAUCAUUUAAAGAAAGCGUAAUAGCUCACUGGUCGAGUCGGCCUGCGCGGAAGAUGUAACGGGGCUAAACCAUGCACCGAAGCUGCGGCAGCGACACUAUGUGUUGUUGGGUAGGGGAGCGUUCUGUAAGCCUGCGAAGGUGUGCUGUGAGGCAUGCUGGAGGUAUCAGAAGUGCGAAUGCUGACAUAAGUAACGAUAAAGCGGGUGAAAAGCCCGCUCGCCGGAAGACCAAGGGUUCCUGUCCAACGUUAAUCGGGGCAGGGUGAGUCGACCCCUAAGGCGAGGCCGAAAGGCGUAGUCGAUGGGAAACAGGUUAAUAUUCCUGUACUUGGUGUUACUGCGAAGGGGGGACGGAGAAGGCUAUGUUAGCCGGGCGACGGUUGUCCCGGUUUAAGCAUGUAGGCUGAUUGUCCAGGCAAAUCCGGAUAAUCAAGGCUGAGGUGUGAUGACGAGGCACUACGGUGCUGAAGUAACAAAUGCCCUGCUUCCAGGAAAAGCCUCUAAGCAUCAGGUAACAUCAAAUCGUACCCCAAACCGACACAGGUGGUCAGGUAGAGAAUACCAAGGCGCUUGAGAGAACUCGGGUGAAGGAACUAGGCAAAAUGGUGCCGUAACUUCGGGAGAAGGCACGCUGGUGUGUAGGUGAAGUCCCUGCGGAUGGAGCUGAGACCAGUCGAAGAUACCAGCUGGCUGCAACUGUUUAUUAAAAACACAGCACUGUGCAAACACGAAAGUGGACGUAUACGGUGUGACGCCUGCCCGGUGCCGGAAGGUUAAUUGAUGGGGUUAUCCGUAAGGAGAAGCUCUUGAUCGAAGCCCCGGUAAACGGCGGCCGUAACUAUAACGGUCCUAAGGUAGCGAAAUUCCUUGUCGGGUAAGUUCCGACCUGCACGAAUGGCGUAAUGAUGGCCAGGCUGUCUCCACCCGAGACUCAGUGAAAUUGAACUCGCUGUGAAGAUGCAGUGUACCCGCGGCAAGACGGAAAGACCCCGUGAACCUUUACUAUAGCUUGACACUGAACAUUGAGCCUUGAUGUGUAGGAUAGGUGGGAGGCUUUGAAGCGUGGACGCCAGUCUGCGUGGAGCCAACCUUGAAAUACCACCCUUUAAUGUUUGAUGUUCUAACGUUGGCCCCUUACCGGGGUUGCGGACAGUGUCUGGUGGGUAGUUUGACUGGGGCGGUCUCCUCCCAAAGCGUAACGGAGGAGCACGAAGGUUAGCUAAUCCUGGUCGGACAUCAGGAGGUUAGUGCAAUGGCAUAAGCUAGCUUGACUGCGAGCGUGACGGCGCGAGCAGGUGCGAAAGCAGGUCAUAGUGAUCCGGUGGUUCUGAAUGGAAGGGCCAUCGCUCAACGGAUAAAAGGUACUCCGGGGAUAACAGGCUGAUACCGCCCAAGAGUUCAUAUCGACGGCGGUGUUUGGCACCUCGAUGUCGGCUCAUCACAUCCUGGGGCUGAAGUAGGUCCCAAGGGUAUGGCUGUUCGCCAUUUAAAGUGGUACGCGAGCUGGGUUUAGAACGUCGUGAGACAGUUCGGUCCCUAUCUGCCGUGGGCGCUGGAGAAUUGAGGGGGGCUGCUCCUAGUACGAGAGGACCGGAGUGGACGCAUCACUGGUGUUCGGGUUGUCAUGCCAAUGGCACUGCCCGGUAGCUAAAUGCGGAAGAGAUAAGUGCUGAAAGCAUCUAAGCACGAAACUUGCCCCGAGAUGAGUUCUCCCUGAGACUUUAAGUCUCCUGAAGGAACGUUAAAGACGAUGACGUUGAUAGGCCGGGUGUGUAAGCGCAGCGAUGCGUUGAGCUAACCGGUACUAAUGAACCGUGAGGCUUAACCUU